RNAcentral lists this ribosomal RNA (254 nucleotides) under uncultured bacterium. Its description in RNAcentral is "partial 16S ribosomal RNA". It matches the Rfam family "Bacterial small subunit ribosomal RNA", at positions 524 to 776 of the family's 1533-position model. The record is from RNAcentral.
UACGUAGGGCGCAAGCGUUUAUCCGGAAUUAUUGGGCGUAAAGAGCUCGUAGGCGGUUUGUCGCGUCUGCCGUGAAAGUCCGGGGCUUAACCCCGGAUCUGCGGUGGGUACGGGCAGACUAGAGUGAUGUAGGGGAGACUGGAAUUCCUGGUGUAGCGGUGAAAUGCGCAGAUAUCAGGAGGAACACCGAUGGCGAAGGCAGGUCUCUGGGCAUUAACUGACGCUGAGGAGCGAAAGCAUGGGGAGCGAACAGG